CCAAACCCCUGUGACAUACCACUUGUUGCCUCGGCGGAUCAGCCCGCUCCCGGUAAAACGGGACGGCCCGCCAGAGGACCCCUAAACUCUGUUUCUAUAUGUAACUUCUGAGUAAAACCAUAAAUAAAUCAAAACUUUCAACAACGGAUCUCUUGGUUCUGGCAUCGAUGAAGAACGCAGCAAAAUGCGAUAAGUAAUGUGAAUUGCAGAAUUCAGUGAAUCAUCGAAUCUUUGAACGCACAUUGCGCCCGCCAGUAUUCUGGCGGGCAUGCCUGUUCGAGCGUCAUUUCAACCCUCAAGCACAGCUUGGUGUUGGGACUCGCGUUAAUUCGCGUUCCCCAAAUUGAUUGGCGGUCACGUCGAGCUUCCAUAGCGUAGUAGUAAAACCCUCGUUACUGGUAAUCGUCGCGGCCACGCCGUUAAACCCCAACUUCUGAAUGUUGACCUCGGAUCAGGUAGGAAUACCCGCUGAACUUAAGC
RNAcentral lists this ribosomal RNA (480 nucleotides) under Fusarium oxysporum f. sp. lycopersici. RNAcentral describes it as "eukaryotic LSU rRNA". The stretch from base 133 to 286 matches the Rfam family "5.8S ribosomal RNA". The record is from RNAcentral. Lineage: Eukaryota; Fungi; Ascomycota; Sordariomycetes; Hypocreales; Nectriaceae.